This 492-nucleotide ribosomal RNA is filed under the name uncultured bacterium. Its description in RNAcentral is "partial 16S ribosomal RNA". It matches the Rfam family "Bacterial small subunit ribosomal RNA", at positions 29 to 507 of the family's 1533-position model. The record is from RNAcentral.
AGUGAACGCUGGCGGUAGGCCUAACACAUGCAAGUCGAACGGCAGCACAGUAAGAGCUUGCUCUUACGGGUGGCGAGUGGCGGACGGGUGAGGAAUACAUCGGAAUCUACUUUUUCGUGGGGGAUAACGUAGGGAAACUUACGCUAAUACCGCAUACGACCUACGGGUGAAAGCAGGGGAUCUUCGGACCUUGCGCGAUUGAAUGAGCCGAUGUCGGAUUAGCUAGUUGGCGGGGUAAAGGCCCACCAGGGCGACGAUCCGUAGCUGGUCUGAGAGGAUGAUCAGCCACACUGGAACUGAGACACGGUCCAGACUCCUACGGGAGGCAGCAGUGGGGAAUAUUGGACAAUGGGCGCAAGCCUGAUCCAGCCAUACCGCGUGAGUGAAGAAGGCCUUCGGGUUGUAAAGCCCUUUUGUUGGGAAAGAAAAGCAGCAGGUUAAUACCCCGCUGUUCUGACGGUACCCAAAGAAUAAGCACCGGCUAACUUCGUG